This 469-nucleotide ribosomal RNA is filed under the name uncultured bacterium. RNAcentral's name for it is "bacterial SSU rRNA". It matches the Rfam family "Bacterial small subunit ribosomal RNA", at positions 28 to 517 of the family's 1533-position model. The record is from RNAcentral.
GACGAACGCUGGCGGCGUGCCUAAAACAUGCAAGUCGAACGGGGUCCAUCCUUCGGGAGAAGACCUAGUGGCGAACGGGUGAGUAACACGUGAGAAACCUGCCUCGAAGUCUGGGAUAAGCCAGGGAAACUGGGUCUAAUACCGGAUACCUUCACAACUUCUUCUGUUGAUGUGAAGAAAGUUUUUCGCUUCGAGAGGGUCUCGCGUCCUAUCAGCUUGUUGGUGGGGUAACGGCCUACCAAGGCUCGACGGGUAGCUGGUCUGAGAGGAUGAUCAGCCACACUGGGACUGAGACACGGCCCAGACUCCUACGGGAGGCAGCAGUUAGGAAUCUUGCGCAAUGGGCGAAAGCCUGACGCAGCAACGCCGCGUGAGAGAUGAAUGCUUUCGGUUGUAACCUACUUUCAGUAGGAACGAAAUUAGACGGUACCUACAGAAGAAGCUCCGGCCAACUACGUGCCAGCAGCCG